UACGUAGGGGGCAAGCGUUGUCCGGAAUCAUUGGGCGUAAAGCGCGUGUAGGCGGCUCGAUAAGUCUGCUGUGAAAGUCCAGGGCUCAACCCUGGGAUGCCGGUGGAUACUGUCGAGCUCGAGUCCGGAGAGGAGUGUGGAAUUCCUGGUGUAGCGGUGAAAUGCGCAGAUAUCAGGAGGAACACCUGAGGCGAAGGCGGGCUACUGGGCCGAUACUGACGCU
Molecule: ribosomal RNA, 223 nt
Filed under: uncultured prokaryote
Description: partial 16S ribosomal RNA
Rfam family: Bacterial small subunit ribosomal RNA
Source: RNAcentral